This 250-nucleotide long non-coding RNA is filed under the name Zostera marina. Its description in RNAcentral is "long non-coding RNA (ZMAR_LNC005304)". Lineage: Eukaryota; Viridiplantae; Streptophyta; Magnoliopsida; Alismatales; Zosteraceae. The record is from RNAcentral.
UAUAAUAUUUUCAUUCUUUUACUUGUAACUCUGAAUAAAGAUAUUUUCCCUUCUUUCCAUCUGUUUUACACUUUUGCUUUGAAGCACGUCGGUGUAGUUUGCGGGUAUACUUCGUUCUUUUUCUAAGGAUUUUAUUCAUAGAAAUCGACUUUUCUCUAAGAUGUCGAUUCCUUAAAGUCGAUGUUGCCUGUUGAUCGAUUCUAUCCUUUUCUGAAGAUGUCGAAGUUUAUACAGAAAGUCGAUCCCAUCC